Molecule: small RNA, 236 nt
Filed under: Malus domestica (apple)
Lineage: Eukaryota; Viridiplantae; Streptophyta; Magnoliopsida; Rosales; Rosaceae
Description: sRNA MD05G0253200
Source: RNAcentral
GGUGUUGAAUUAUUCCUGGAAAUGUCAGCAGGGGAUUCUUGAGACUCACAUAAACGGCUUGUGAUCUCAUCCUUCACAUUCGUAGUUCCAGAGCCAGAGGGUGUUGAAUCAUUCCUGGAAAUGUCAGCGGGGGAUUCUUGAGACUCACAUAAACAGCUUGUGAUCUCAUCCUUCACAUUCGUAGUUCUAGAGCCAGAGGGUGUUGAAUUAUUCCUGGAAAUGUCAGCGGGGGAUUC